RNAcentral lists this ribosomal RNA (256 nucleotides) under Pelobates cultripes (western spadefoot toad). RNAcentral's name for it is "LSU_rRNA_bacteria". It matches the Rfam family "Eukaryotic large subunit ribosomal RNA", at positions 2551 to 2800 of the family's 3401-position model. Lineage: Eukaryota; Metazoa; Chordata; Amphibia; Anura; Pelobatidae. The record is from RNAcentral.
ACUCUCGCUUCUGGCUCCAAGCGCCUGGCGCAUGCCGGGUGCAACCCGCUCUGAGGACAGUGGCAGGUGGGGAGUUUGACUGGGGCGGUACACCUGUUAAACCGUAACGCAGGUAUCCUAAGGCGAGCUCAGGGAGGACAGAAACCUCCCGCGGAGCAGAAGGGCAAAAGCUUGCUUGAUCUUGAUUUUCAGUAUGAAUACAGACAGUGAAAGCGGGGCCUCACGAUCCUAGUUCAAGAUUAUUAUUUUAAUGUAU